CAGACUCAAGGCACGCCACCCCUACAACAUGGCAGCACAAGAGAUGCUCAUUUCCAUCCCUGAAGACAUCUCCAGAGAUGCCUGGCUGGCAGCAGCUUGGAAGCAGGAGUGGGAGGCAGCUGGCCCCUCCCUCAUGCACAGUUAUGUCUGGGAACCAGGAGACGGCGCCAUAGGAGGAGACGAACUACCUCGCCAGCAGUGGACCACACUGAACCGCUUAAGAACUGGUGUUGGGCGCUUCAACAUGUCUAGUGGGGUCUGGCGGACAGUGCGGCAUGCGAGUGCGGAGCCCUCGAGCAGACAGCCGACCACACCAUCAACACCUACACCAACAUAUAGACCACCCUCAGAGGCCGGCCUCUUCGACCUGGGACCAGAGAUGCUGGCGUGGCUCCACGACACCAAGUUGGAGCGCUGACGUUACACGAGAGAGAGAGCGAGAGAGAGAGCGAGAGAGAGAGAGAGAGAGAGAGAGAGAGAGAGAGAGAGAGAGAGACUCCCAAACCAGGGUGGCAAGAAGCAGGACUUCUCAUUCCUCUCACAGGGAGAGCCAAGACUUUCCAAAAGACCUGUACAACGGAGGCCAGCAUCAUGAAACACAAACUCCCAAACCAGCAUGGUAACAUGAAACACAAACUCCCAAACCAGCAUGGUAACACACAGGACUUCUUCUGAUUCUUCUUAUGUUCUUGGGUCUUGCCUGUGGUUCUACACGCAUCCAGAAAUGCAGACAAAGAACAGCUUGGCCUUUAACAGUCGGAAGCCUCUGAUUUUACUCUACUAAGCCUCAGAUACAGUCUGUUUUCUGUUCUCAUUCAGUCAUUCAGUCAUUCAUUCAUUCAUUUAUUUAUUUAUUUAUUUAUUUAUUUAUUUAUUUAUUUAUUUAUUUAUUUAUUUAUUUAUUUAUUUAUUUAUUUAUUUAUUUAUUUAUUUAUUUAUUUAUUUAUUUAUUUAUUAUAUUUUUUGCCUCAAAUUAUGUUUGCAUUAUCUUUUGUAUAACAGCGUCUUCAAUCAUGUUGCACUUAAACUCUUAAAAAAUAACACUGAAAUUAACAUAACAUCCAUCCAUCCAUUCAUUCUCUGAACCGCUUAGUCCCCACGCGGGCCGCGGGUGUGCUGGAUCAUAUCCCAGCCGUCAUCGGGCAGUAGGUGGGGGACGCCCUGAACCGGUUGCCAGCCAAUCGCAGGGCACACAGCGAUUAUUAUCUAUUGAAUCAGUAAAAUACUUGAUAUGUUUUUAUUUGUUAUGUCUUCAGCGUUUUUGAAAGUUAUUUAUAUUAUUUAUUGCAUUACUUCUUUGACUCAAUUAAAAAACCUGUAUUUUGUCCCAA
Syngnathus typhle (broad-nosed pipefish) is the source of this 1331-nucleotide long non-coding RNA. RefSeq lists it as uncharacterized. The transcript has 3 exons. The record is from RefSeq and is a predicted model, not a curated record. NCBI's taxonomy places the organism in Eukaryota, Metazoa, Chordata, Actinopteri, Syngnathiformes, Syngnathidae.